GGAGAAUGAAGCUUCGGCUGAUUUUUCUUGAUAUGGCGCUGGAUAGCGGCAAACGGGUGAGUAACGCGUGGGUAACCUACCUUGAGGAGGAAGAUAGCUUCGAGAAAUCGGAGAUAAUAUUCCAUAGUCCCUUGGGUUUAUGACUCAAGGGCAAAGAUGGCCUCUAUUUAUAAGCUGUCACCUUAAGAGGGGCCCGCGUCCCAUCAGGUUGUUGGUGGGGUAACGGCCUACCAAGCCGAAGACGGGUAGUUGGCGUAAGAGCGUGACCAACCACAUCGGGACUGAGACACUGCCCGGACUCCUACGGGAGGCUGCAGUCGAGAAUCUUUCCCAAUGGACGAAAGUCUGAGGAUGCGACGCCGCGUGAGGGAUGACGGCCUUCGGGUUGUAAACCUAUUUUAUUGAGGAGGAACGCUAUUUAGUUAACAGCUUUUUAGUCUGACUGUACUCAAUGAAUAAGCCACGGCUAACUCCGUGCCAGCAGCCGCGGUAAUACGGAGGUGGCAAGCGUUACUCGGUUUGACUGGGUGUAAAGGGUCCGCAGGCGGUUAUAUAAGUGAAAGGUGAAAUCUUUCGGCUCAACCGAAAAAUUGCCUUUUAAACUAUAUAACUUGAGGAUGGAAGAGGAGAGUGGAACUGUCGGUGGAAAGGUGAAAUUUGUGGAUAUCGACAGGAACGCCCGUGGGGAAGCCGGCUCUCUGGUCCAUACCUGACGCUCAGGGACGAAAGCUAGGGGAGCAAACAGGAUUAGAUACCCUGGUAGUCCUAGCUGUAAACGAUGGGCACUAGGUGUUCGUCCGUAAGGAUGGGUGCCGCAGUUAACACAUUAAGUGCCCCACCUGGGGACUACGGCCGCAAGGCUAAAACUCAAAGGAAUUGACGGGGGCCCGCACAAGCGGUGGAACACGUGGUUUAAUUCGAUGCUACGCGAGAAACCUUACCAGGGUUUGACAUGCUAGAAGUAGUAUCCCGAAAGGGAGUCCGACCGGUAACCAAUCCGGAACUAGCACAGGUGCUGCAUGGCUGUCGUCAGCUCGUGCCGUGGGGUGUUCCCUUAAGUGGGAGAACGAGCCAACCCUCGCCUUUAGUUGCCACUUUUGAUUUAUUUCAAGAAGCACUCUAAAGGGACUGCCCGCGUUAAGUGGGAGGAAGGUGGGGACGACGUCAAGUCCGCAUGGCCCUUAUGUCCUGGGCGACACACGUGUUACAAUGCCUGUCACAAAGGGAAGCUAAGCCGCGAGGUGGAGCAGAUCCC
RNAcentral lists this ribosomal RNA (1255 nucleotides) under metagenome. RNAcentral describes it as "bacterial SSU rRNA". It matches the Rfam family "Bacterial small subunit ribosomal RNA", at positions 56 to 1275 of the family's 1533-position model. The record is from RNAcentral.